UCCCGUUUAGCUCAGUGGUAGAGCGCAUCACUUGUAUAAGCAGAUGAUGAGGUCAGUCGUUCAAUCCGGCUAACGGGAA
This is a non-coding RNA of Lentinus tigrinus ALCF2SS1-7, 79 nucleotides long. The record is from the annotation of a GenBank genome assembly. NCBI's taxonomy places the organism in Eukaryota, Fungi, Basidiomycota, Agaricomycetes, Polyporales, Polyporaceae.